AUACAAUGGAGAGUUUGAUCCUGGCUCAGGAUGAACGCUAGCGGGAGGCCUAACACAUGCAAGCCGAGCGGUAUUUGUCUUUC
RNAcentral lists this ribosomal RNA (83 nucleotides) under Chryseobacterium sp. SC28. RNAcentral describes it as "partial 16S ribosomal RNA". It matches the Rfam family "Bacterial small subunit ribosomal RNA", at positions 1 to 81 of the family's 1533-position model. The record is from RNAcentral. Lineage: Bacteria; Pseudomonadati; Bacteroidota; Flavobacteriia; Flavobacteriales; Weeksellaceae.